This 482-nucleotide ribosomal RNA is filed under the name uncultured bacterium. RNAcentral's name for it is "bacterial SSU rRNA". It matches the Rfam family "Bacterial small subunit ribosomal RNA", at positions 24 to 518 of the family's 1533-position model. The record is from RNAcentral.
UCAGGACGAACGCUGGCGGCGUGCUUAACACAUGCAAGUCGAGCGAUGAAGCUCCUUCGGGAGUGAAUUAGCGGCGGACGGGUGAGUAACACGUGGGUAACCUGCCUCAUAGAGGGGAAUAGCCUUUCGAAAGGAAGAUUAAUACCGCAUAAGAUUGUAGUACCGCAUGGUACAGCAAUUAAAGGAGUAAUCCGCUAUGAGAUGGACCCGCGUCGCAUUAGCUAGUUGGUGAGGUAACGGCUCACCAAGGCGACGAUGCGUAGCCGACCUGAGAGGGUGAUCGGCCACAUUGGGACUGAGACACGGCCCAGACUCCUACGGGAGGCAGCAGUGGGGAAUAUUGCACAAUGGGGGGAAAAACCCCCUGAUGCAGCAACGCCGCGUGAGUGAUGACGGCCUUCGGGUUGUAAAACUCUGUCUUUGGGGACGAUAAUGACGGUACCCAAGGAGGAAGCCACGGCUAACUACGUGCCAGCCGCCGC